GACGAACGCUGGCGGCGUGCCUAAUACAUGCAAGUCGAGCGGACUUGAAGGAGUGCUUGCACUCCUGAGAGUUAGCGGCGGACGGGUGAGUAACACGUAGGCAACCUGCCCUCAAGACUGGGAUAACUACCGGAAACGGUAGCUAAUACCGGAUAAUUUAUUACAUAGCAUUAUGUGAUAAUGAAAGACGGAGCAAUCUGUCACUUGGGGAUGGGCCUGCGGUGCAUUAGCUAGUUGGUGGGGUAAAGGCCCACCAAGGCGACGAUGCGUAGGCGACCUGAGAGGGUGAACGGCCACACUGGGACGGAGACACGGCCCAGACUCCUACGGGAGGCAGCAGUAGGGAAUCUUCCGCAAUGGGCGAAAGCCUGACGGAGCAACGCCGCGUGAGUGAUGAAGGUUUUCGGAUCGUAAAGCUCUGUUGCCAAGGAAGAACGUCUCAUAGAGUAACUGCUAUGCGAGUGACGGUACUUGAGAAGAAAGCCCCGGCUAACUACGUG
Molecule: ribosomal RNA, 500 nt
Filed under: uncultured bacterium
Lineage: Bacteria
Description: partial 16S ribosomal RNA
Rfam family: Bacterial small subunit ribosomal RNA
Source: RNAcentral